Molecule: long non-coding RNA, 855 nt
Organism: Triticum aestivum (bread wheat)
Lineage: Eukaryota; Viridiplantae; Streptophyta; Magnoliopsida; Poales; Poaceae
Exons: 3
Source: RefSeq, a predicted model, not a curated record
ACCCCCUUUUCCCUCUGAUGAAACCUCCCACGCCGCUCCUUCUCUUUCCCCAAUCCCCGCCAGUUCGCCACCACGCGCCAAUCCCGCCGUCGCCCGUCGAUCCGGCGCGCACUUCCACCCUCGUCUCUCUCCCUGGUCCAGCAACGUCACCCAGCCCCUUAGCUUUUCCUCCCGACACGAAAAUGUCCUUUUGACUGCCGUCUCCGUCUUGUUGGCCCGCAGAUCUGGCAGCCCUCGGCCACGACGCUGCGAGCUCUGGCCGGCUUGACCUCGUCGCCCCCAUCCAAUAGGUGCUCGACGCCGCUCCUCGGGACCGCGGCGGUCUUCUUCAUGGGCUCUCUCUCCCUUCACCCCCUACGCCAUGUAUCGGCCCCUUCCUGAAGCUCCUCCUCAUCCGGGUGGCCCCCUGAUGUCGCCGAGUGGACCACGCCCACUCCCGCCUCCGCCUGCCUGUACCAGGCCACAUCAGAUUCUGAAGGCGGUUUUGAAAGGGAGUGAGAUGAUGCUCGUCAAGACUAACUAAAAAGGAAUGGGAGACAGUACUGGAAGAAUCGUGAUCUAUGGCAAGGGUGAUGAUGUCUAUGGCGAUGAUUGUUAUGAUCUAUUUGGCGACGAGCAUUAUGAUCCAUAUGGUGAUGAAGGGUGACGAGUCUAGUGAUCUUUCUUCAAGACGUUCAACAAAGUGAAAUCAUGGGGUUUUGGUCAAUUUAGCUUAUGCAUAAUGCUUGGAUCAUUAUAUCUUAGUUACAUUUUUUUUGCAUUUUAAACUUCCUAGAUUGUUCAUCAUGAUCAAUGUAAUUUUGAUGCAACUCUUCUGAUAUUUUGAAAGCUGUGCUAUAUACAAUAUAUGUUACU